CUGCAUCCACUGAUAGAUGGGGAACAGUCUGGGGUUCUUUGGUUCUUACUAAAAUGCAAAAGUAAAGAAUCCCUGCACGUUCUGCCUGGCUUUGUGGCAGCCCAGACUGAAUUGAGGAGCACAUCU
RNAcentral lists this small nucleolar RNA (126 nucleotides) under Jaculus jaculus (lesser Egyptian jerboa). RNAcentral describes it as "Small nucleolar RNA SNORA31 (ENSJJAG00000008222.1)". It matches the Rfam family "Small nucleolar RNA SNORA31". From Rfam's summary of the family: ACA31 (SNORA31) belongs to the H/ACA class of snoRNAs which are thought to guide the sites of modification of uridines to pseudouridines. ACA31 is predicted to guide the pseudouridylation of U3713 in 28S rRNA and U218 in 18S rRNA. The record is from Rfam by way of RNAcentral. Lineage: Eukaryota; Metazoa; Chordata; Mammalia; Rodentia; Dipodidae.